Molecule: non-coding RNA, 76 nt
Organism: Potamilus streckersoni
Lineage: Eukaryota; Metazoa; Mollusca; Bivalvia; Unionida; Unionidae
Source: the annotation of a GenBank genome assembly
UGGUGGCCUAGUGGUUAGAGCUUCCGCCUCAAAUGCAGGAGGUUGUGGGUUUGAUCCUCAUGUCAAGUCAUAACAA